GUGCUCCCUUAGGCUGAUCACAUACUAAAGUUGGAACAAUACAGAGAAGAUUAGCAUGACCCCCUUACAAGGAUGACACACAAAGUUUUUAAACAUCAAUAUAUAUGU
Small nuclear RNA from Colobus angolensis palliatus, 108 nucleotides. The record is from Ensembl. Lineage: Eukaryota; Metazoa; Chordata; Mammalia; Primates; Cercopithecidae.